Nanorana parkeri is the source of this 794-nucleotide long non-coding RNA. RefSeq lists it as uncharacterized. The record is from RefSeq and is a predicted model, not a curated record. Lineage: Eukaryota; Metazoa; Chordata; Amphibia; Anura; Dicroglossidae. The transcript is spliced from 3 exons.
AGGCUUUUCACUGCGAGUGAGCAGACUGAAACUGAUAAGACAGCCCCAGCCAACCCCUUGUGCUUCUCACUGCGAAUAUUACUUCAUACUUCUCGCUUUCUUUAUUUAACUCAAGCAAAGGGGGCAUUUUUUUAAUCCCUGGGAGGGUUUGCAUACCUUCAAUGUUUUGUGUCUAGUCAGGAUUUUUUUUUUUCAUUAAGAAAUAUCCUUCUGAGCCUCUAUUUAAAAUAUUGGAAUGUGCAGCUUUUGGCCGGUGAGGAUUUGAGAUUAGCAAGGACCUGCUAAUUGCAGGUUUCUCGGCUGUGCAUUUUUCCAGGGCUCAGAAAAGGGGAAAAACUGACAGAGGGUGAAGCCUGGAGUGAGCGUGAAGUCUGAAGGGCUUGGCUGCUAUCAGGAGGUGUAUGUUGUUCUCUCUCUCUUGAGACAGUAUAGGAGAUGCAGUAGCUUGGAAGUCACAUUGAGACAUCCCCUAGCUUCAGAACGGUUUUGCAGAGAAGAUCAGGGAAACUGGGCCAAGGACCUAAAAUCAGCAGGCUACAGAUCCAGGAUAGAAGAACCACUCUGACACACCCUCUGAAGUGAGUGCCUGGUUCAACACUGGCAUCCCAGAUGAACAGGGAGUACAAAGGUCUGUCAGGUAGAGCUGUGUGGUGACAGCACCUCCUCAGCAAGCAUUAAGCAAACACUGGAGUCCUCGGUGCCCUUGAGGUCUGCCUAUUGAAACUCAACCCACUUGAGAAAAUCAGUCUGAAAGCGCAGGACCUCAGUCUCCUCUCCUGAAAUCCGCCAGCCAA